Long non-coding RNA from Carassius auratus (goldfish), 2635 nucleotides. Lineage: Eukaryota; Metazoa; Chordata; Actinopteri; Cypriniformes; Cyprinidae. The record is from Ensembl.
GUCCCGUUUUAUUUAGUUAAAAUAUUCUAAUACUCUGAUUUUAUAAUUCUUUGUAUGUUGAUUAUACCUGUAAAUUCUAUAAAUAUGUAUUAAAAAUAUAUUUGUUUAAAAAAAAUUAUAAUGAAUAAAUUGUAAAUGUAGCUAUAUUAAUUUGUAAACUAAACAUUAUAGAUUAAAAUGAUUUGCAUUAAAUAUAUUGUUAAUGUCUUGCUUUGACUGUUUUUAUUUACCAUGUAAAGUUUCCUGUAAAGUUAAUUUCCAUGUAAACCGGAGGCUGCCCCCCCCCCUUCUCCCCCCUCUGUUUCCACGGCAACCCUGUCUGGGUGGAGGAGAGGAGCGAAUCAUGCGAGGCUCGAGCAUCUCUCUCUCUCUCUCUCUCUCUCUCUCUCUCUGCAGACUGACCGAGGCUGUGUUGGAAGGAGCUCGUGCAUCACAUCAGUCCUGUCCUUUACUCAUUCGUCCUUCUCCAAAGCAGGCACGGAGAGCUGCGUUCAUGCCAAAAUGGGAUGUGGAAAUUCCUCCGCCACCAGCACGACAGCAGGAGGUCCAGCAGAAGCUGCCAAGGAUGUGUGAGUAAUUUAAUUUAUGACAUAUCCAAACAUACCAUAUUCAGAAUGUGAGCCACAGAAUGAAUGUGAUGACUGUAACGUCCCCCACUGACCCGAGAGAAAUUAAUAACAGCAUUGAGCACCAAAUUGGUACAUAACUGCUCACCACAGUGUAAAUCCACCAAAAUAAACACACAGACUGAAUCCUGGGGGGGUUCAAUCAGCCUGUUCCAGCUAACCAUUCAGCAGCUUUUGUGGCGCACAUGGGCCCCUGAGGGUCCAAACACAUGCUAACCAAUCAGCAAUCGCUACCCAUCCCCCCGCAAUGCCUGACACCUCACAGUUUACUGUCAAAGACACCAGACGGCAUCCGUCCCAUCGGUGGAAAAACGCCCGAGUGUGUUUAGACAGCAGAUUUCUGUUAUGACAUCAGCAUGUGACUCCUGUUUGACACGGUUUUAACAUUUAACAUCUAUAAAAAGAUACAGAGGAGUUGAAUAAAUGCUCGCCGUCUGAAAUAUUUAACAGUUUUCCACUCUCGGAUCAAGUUGUGAUAAACAUUUAGCUCAAGACUGCAUUCCGAAAAUUAAUAUCCCAUUCCAAAUCUCCACUGCAAAAUUGGAAAUGGAAUGAAAAUGAAAAACAGCUCGAUCAACUGAACUGUUGUUUUAAUUGUUCAGCCAACAAAACAUUGGCAAUUUUAAGAUGUGUUUUCAGUUGACAAAAAUAUGAAUAUGAAAAUUAAAUAUGAAAUGUAUUCGUAUAUUUUAGCUUUUAAUAUAUAAAAUAAAUAAUUAUAUAAUUUGCUAUAAAAAAAUAAUAUUAUAUAAUUUUUUAUUUUAAUAGAUAAUAAUAAUACUAUUAAUAUAUAUAUUGCUCCAGAUUCGUGCGACCUCUGACAUAUAUAGCAAUUAUAAGUCGCUUUGGAUAAAAAGCAUCAGCUAAAUGAAUAAUGUAAUAAACACACAUUUUUAUAUGAAUUUCAAAAUAAUUUUAGCUUUUAGAGUGAAUUCCUAGUUAAAAUCCCAUCCAAAAUCUAUACUGCAAAAUCAGAAAUGGCAUUUUUUCUUUAUGCAAAAAUGAAUUAGUGAUGGAUAUAAAUAAUGCAUGAUCAGUUAGUUAUACUGUUGUUUUCAUUUUUAAGCUAACAAAAUAUUAGUCAUUUUAAGGAAAUAUGCAUUGUGGACAUUAAUGUAAACAUUAAAUAUGAACUGAAACAGACUGUACUUCUAUCCCAUGAAAUAAAAUAUUGACUAGGGUUCAUCAACACAACACGCUCUUUCUGAAAUUAAAAUGUAGUAUGAAGUGUUUCGAUGCCAGUCAGUCUUGUGUAACAGAUUAUUUGAGCAAAGAGGACACUGAUGGAGUACAGUACAAAAAAGUAGAGGAGUGAGCUUGAAUUGCUGUAAGACAGAAGUGUCAGCCACAGAGACUGUCUUCAUCUUUAUUCUCUUGAUGCAGGACAGAAGAACCAUCACCAGAUGAUGAGAAGCGAAGGUUAGACGUUCUACUUCAAUCAUGCCAAUCCAUGCCAAUCCAUGCAAGGCCUCUGCUAAACAUCAUGAGACUGAAUCGGGACAAUAAUAAUGAAUGUGUAACUGUGUGUUCUGCAGGAACUAUGGAGGAGUGUAUGUGGGUCUUCCUGCUGAUCUGACCACAGUAGCUGCCAGCCAAUCAAAGUCCACACGUAAAGGUGAGGAGCGCAUUCACAGAACAACACAGGUUUGAAACAGUUAAAAGCAAAAAAACAGUAACAACAGUAUAUUUUGCUCUUUUUUGUCUAGAUCAAAUAACAGCCACAAGUUUCUUAUAAAAAAGCAAAGAAGUUGCUUGUUUUCCAGCUGUUUUAUAUUCACACAAAUCAAUAGAUUGAAAUUACCCACAAUUCAUUUUGUGAUUCCAGAAGUUUAUUCGUUCUUCAAUUAAUACACAUUUCUAUAUACACAUUUAAAAAAAAGAAGAUAUUAUAUAUAUUUCAGUUUACAAAUCGUACAUUCUUAUGUGUAACUUAAUUUGUGUUCUAUUAUAUAUAUAUAUAUAAAUCAGUCAAUAUGUUAAAUAUAUUAAUAUAUUUUUUGAAAUGUAAC